This 609-nucleotide ribosomal RNA is filed under the name Filobasidium sp. Its description in RNAcentral is "eukaryotic LSU rRNA". It matches the Rfam family "Eukaryotic large subunit ribosomal RNA", at positions 62 to 657 of the family's 3401-position model. The record is from RNAcentral. Lineage: Eukaryota; Fungi; Basidiomycota; Tremellomycetes; Filobasidiales; Filobasidiaceae.
AAACUAACAAGGAUUCCCCUAGUAACGGCGAGUGAAGCGGGAAGAGCUCAAAUUUGAAAUCUGGUGGCCUCAGGUCAUCCGAGUUGUAAUCUAUAGAAGUGUUUUCCGUGCUGGCUCAUGUACAAGUCCCUUGGAACAGGGCGUCAUAGAGGGUGAGAAUCCCGUCCUUGACAUGAACUACCAGUGCUCUGUGAUACAUUUUCAACGAGUCGAGUUGUUUGGGAAUGCAGCUCAAAAUGGGUGGUAAAUUCCAUCUAAAGCUAAAUAUUGGCGAGAGACCGAUAGCGAACAAGUACCGUGAGGGAAAGAUGAAAAGCACUUUGGAAAGAGAGUUAAACAGUAUGUGAAAUUGUUGAAAGGGAAACGAUUGAAGUCAGUCGUGCUCUUUGGAUUCAGCCGGUUCUGCCGGUGUACUUCCUUUGAGUGGGGUCAACAUCAGUUUUGAUCGCUGGAUAAAGGCUGGAGGAACGUAGUACCCUCGGGUAAACUUAUAGCCUCCUGUCACAUACAGUGGUUGGGACUGAGGAACGCAGCACGCCUUUAUGGCCGGGAUUCGUCCACGUACGUGCUUAGGAUGUUGACAUAAUGGCUUUAAACGACCCGUCUUGA